Molecule: ribosomal RNA, 492 nt
Filed under: uncultured bacterium
Lineage: Bacteria
Description: partial 16S ribosomal RNA
Rfam family: Bacterial small subunit ribosomal RNA
Source: RNAcentral
AGUGAACGCUGGCGGUAGGCCUAACACAUGCAAGUCGAACGGCAGCACAGUAAGAGCUUGCUCUUACGGGUGGCGAGUGGCGGACGGGUUAGGAAUACAUCGGAAUCUACUUUUUCGUGGGGGAUAACGUAGGGAAACUUACGCUAAUACCGCAUACGACCUACGGGUGAAAGCAGGGGAUCUUCGGACCUUGCGCGAUUGAAUGAGCCGAUGUCGGAUUAGCUAGUUGGCGGGGUAAAGGCCCACCAAGUCGACGAUCCGUAGCUGGUCUGAGAGGAUGAUCAGCCACACUGGAACUGAGACACGGUCCAGACUCCUACGGGAGGCAGCAGUGGGGAAUAUUGGACAAUGGGCGCAAGCCUGAUCCAGCCAUACCGCGUGGGUGAAGAAGGCCUUCGGGUUGUAAAGCCCUUUUGUUGGGAAAGAAAAGCAGCAGGUUAAUACCCCGCUGUUCUGACGGUACCCAAAGAAUAAGCACCGGCUAACUUCGUG